CCAUAGUUAUGGGAGGGGAACCCGGAGAACUGAAACAUCUAAGUACCCGGAGGAAAAGAAAGAAAACUCGAUUCCCCCAGUAGCGGCGAGCGAAAAGGGAAAAGCCCAAACCGGAAAUAUCCGGGGUUAGGACAUUCAAAAAGUAUCAGAGCCCAGUCGAAUGGUGUGGGAAAAUCAGCCAAAGAAGGUGAGAGCCCUGUAGACGAAAGGUAAAGAUAUGGGAAUGAAUCCAGAGUAGCACGGAGCACGAGGAAUUCCGUGUGAAAGAGCGGGGACCACCCCGUAAGGCUAAAUACUCCUUAGCGACCGAUAGAGAACAAGUACCGUGAGGGAAAGGUGAAAAGCACCUCGGAAGAGGAGUGAAAGAGAACCUGAAACCGUAUGCUUACAAUCAGUCACAGCCCUUAGGGGUAGUGGCGUACUUUUUGUAGAACGGACCAGCGAGUUACAUAUACUAGCAAGGUUAAGAAAUACGGAGCCAAAGCGAAAGCGAGUCUGAAAAGGGCGAAAAGUUAGUGUGUGUAGACCCGAAACCAGGUGAUCUACCCAUGAGCAGGUUGAAGCGUUAGUAAAAUAACGUGGAGGACCGAACCAGGACACGUUGAAAAGUGUUUGGAUGAGCUGUGGGUAGCGGAGAAAUUCCAAUCGAACUUGGAAAUAGCUGGUUCUCUCCGAAAUAGCUUUAGGGCUAGCCUCGUUGUGAGUUUACUGGAGGUAGAGCACUGUUUGGACUAGGGGCCCAUCCCGGGUUACCGAAUUCAGACAAACUCCGAAUGCCAGAUAAAUAUCAACGGGAGUCAGACUGCGGGUGAUAAGGUUCGUAGUCGAAAGGGAAACAGCCCAGACCGCCAGCUAAGGUCCCAAAUUGUAUGUUAAGUGGAAAAGGAUGUGAUGAUGCACAGACAACCAGGAUGUUGGCUUAGAAGCAGCCACCAUUUAAAGAGUGCGUAAUAGCUCACUGGUCGAGUGACAUCGCGCCGAAAAUGUACCGGGGCUAAACAUACAACCGAAGCUGCGGAUAUAACUAAUGUUAUAUGGUAGGAGAGCGUUCUAACAUCGUAGAAGCCGAGCUGUAAGGCGAGGUGGAGAGGUUAGAAGUGAGAAUGCCGGUGUGAGUAGCGAAAGAUAGGUGAGAAUCCUAUCCACCGAAUGACUAAGGUUUCCAGAGGAAGGCUCGUCCGCUCUGGGUAAGUCGGGACCUAAGGUGAAGCCGAAUGGUGAAGCCGAUGGACAACAGGUAGAAAUUCCUGUACCACCAAAUAUCGUUUGAGAGAAGUGGGGACAGAGGAGGCUAAUUGAUCGUCCUGAUGGAAUAGGACGUCUAAGCACAAAGGUUGAGUAGUAGGCAAAUCCGCUGCUCAUAAGACUGAAGUGUGAUGGGGAGCGAAAUAUAGUAGCGAAGUCAAUGAAGCCAAACUCUCAAGAAAAGCCGCUAUCGAGAUAAGAGGUGCCCGUACCGCAAACCGACACAGGUAGUUGGGAAGAGAAUUCUAAGGUGAGCGAGAGAACCAUCGUUAAGGAACUCGGCAAAAUGACCCCGUAACUUCGGGAGAAGGGGUGCCUACGAGAGUAGGCCGCAGUGAAUAGGCCCAAGCGACUGUUUAACAAAAACACAGGUCUCUGCAAAACCGUAAGGUGAAGUAUAGGGGCUGACGCCUGCCCGGUGCUGGAAGGUUAAGAGGAGUGCUUAGCGUAAGCGAAGGUAUGAAUUGAAGCCCCAGUAAACGGCGGCCGUAACUAUAACGGUCCUAAGGUAGCGAAAUUCCUUGUCGGGUAAGUUCCGACCCGCACGAAAGGCGUAAUGAUUUGGGCACUGUCUCAACGAGAGACUCGGUGAAAUUUUAGUACCUGUGAAGAUGCAGGUUACCCGCGACAGGACGGAAAGACCCCAUGGAGCUUUACUGUAGUUUGAUAUUGAGUGUUUGUGUCACAUGUACAGGAUAGGUAGGAGCUGAAGAAUCCGGGACGCCAGUUUCGGAGGAGGCAACGGUGGGAUACUACCCUUGUGACAUGACCACUCUAACCCGCACCCCUAACCGGGGUGGGAGACAGUGUCAGACGGGCAGUUUGACUGGGGCGGUCGCCUCCUAAAAUGUAACGGAGGCGCCCAAAGGUUCCCUCAGAAUGGUUGGAAAUCAUUCGAAGAGUGUAAAGGCAGAAGGGAGCUUGACUGCGAGACCAACAAGUCGAGCAGGGACGAAAGUCGGGCUUAGUGAUCCGGUGGUACCGAAUGGAAGGGCCAUCGCUCAACGGAUAAAAGCUACCCUGGGGAUAACAGGCUGAUCUCGCCCGAGAGUUCCAAUCGACGGCGUGGUUUGGCACCUCGAUGUCGGCUCAUCGCAUCCUGGGGCUGAAGCAGGUCCCAAGGGUUGGUCUGUUCGCCCAUUAAAGCGGUACGUGAGCUGGGUUUAGAACGUCGUGAGACAGUUCGGUCCCUAUCCACCAUGGGCGUAAGGUAUUUGAGGAGAGCUGUUCCUAGUACGAGAGGACCGGAAUGGACGAACCGCUGGUGUACCGGUUGUGGCGCCAGCUGCAAAAGCCGGGUAGCCAAGUUCGGGAAGGAUAACCGCUGAAAGCAUCUAAGUGGGAAGCCAACUUCGAGAUGAGAUACCUGACCUCGCAAGAGGGUAAGCAGCCCGCGAGACGAGCGGGAAGAUAGGCCGGGGGUGUAAGCGCUGAGAGGCGUUGAGCUGACCGGUACUAAAGCUGCGAGACUUUACUCUC
This 2724-nucleotide ribosomal RNA is filed under the name human oral metagenome. Its description in RNAcentral is "bacterial LSU rRNA". It matches the Rfam family "Bacterial large subunit ribosomal RNA". The record is from RNAcentral.